GACGAACGCUGGCGGCGUGCUUAACACAUGCAAGUCGAACGGAAAGGCCCUGCGUUUGUGUGGUGCUCGAGUGGCGAACUGGUGAGUAACACGUGAGUAACCUGCCCUUGACUUUGUGAUAACUUCAGGAAACUGGGGCUAAUACCGGAUAGGAGCUCCUGCUGCAUGGUGGGGGUUGGAAAGUUUCGGCGGUUGGGGAUGGACUCGCGGCUUAUCAGCUUGUUGGUGGGGUAGUGGCUUACCAAGGCUUUGACGGGUAGCCGGCCUGAGAGGGUGACCGGCCACAUUGGGACUGAGAUACGGCGCAGACUCCUACGGGAGGCAGCAGUGGGGAAUAUUGCACAAUGGGCGGAAGCCUGAUGCAGCAACGCCGCGUGCGGGAUGACGGCCUUCGGGUUGUAAACCGCUUUCGCCUGUGACGAAGCGUGAGUGACGGUAAUGGGUAAAGAAGCACCGGCUAACUACGUG
This 468-nucleotide ribosomal RNA is filed under the name uncultured bacterium. RNAcentral describes it as "partial 16S ribosomal RNA". It matches the Rfam family "Bacterial small subunit ribosomal RNA", at positions 28 to 507 of the family's 1533-position model. The record is from RNAcentral.